UACCCAAUAACUAAUUUACUACAUAUUUAAUGCUCUUGUUAAUUACCUUUAAAUUAAUUUUAAUUAUUACUCUUAAAUAUUCAUAAAUUUUUUUGUAUUUAAAUAUAAUUUAAUAUUGUCCAAUCUAAUAUUGUACCAAACAUAGUACAAUAUAUAAUACAAUUCAACUUAAUUCAAUCCAACUUAAUUUUAUUCAAUCCUAAUAAUUAGGGGUGGGCAAAUUACCUGAUCCGACCCGAAAAAUUUCAGGUUCAAAUCAGAUCGGGUUGCAAAGAAAACUCGAUCAUAUGAAAAUGAUAAAACCCGAUCGGGUUUCUUAAAAAAAAAAAACUAAACCUAAACACAUGCACGCCACACAUAAAUUACUUAUUCACAUUUCACAAUACACACACAAGACACAAACAUAACUCAGUGAACUCACAACCCUCCCUAUUACACAAAAUCCAUACACAGUCACUCACACCCAACGCUAAUUCACCAACGGAGGCCACAAAAGCCACAGCCUCACCCUCACCCUCAACAAGCGUUCGAUUUGCCACGUGUCUCCAGUCCACGAUCUGCUGCUGCGCAUCUCCAGUCCACGAUCUACUGCUGCGCAUCUGCCAGUCCACAAACUGGUCCUCGAUCUGUUGUUGCGCAUCCACCCGUUUGCUGUUGCACGUCCAUGGCCACCGAAUUGCUGCCAAGUGCAACCAAUUUGCUGCCGACCCAAACCCGAUCUGCAUUCUGCUGCUUCAAGUCUCCAACCCGACCCGAGUUCCUCCCAUUUAAGACUUUGAGAUUGAGGAAGAAUACCAGCUUCAACUUAUGUUAUGUUUACCCAGGACGGUGCGGUAGGGAGACAAUGGAUGGCGUCCAUGGGAAUUGCAGACCCAGCGGCAAAAGACCCAUUGAAUUUUGAAGUUUUAAUGAUAUACAACUAUAUAUAUAUAUAUGAUAACUAUAUUGCAACCAAUCAGAUCCUAUAUAACCCAAACCCGAUCCCACCUGAAUUCAACCCGAACUUACGACUUGAUCCGAUCCGAUCCGAUUUAAAUUCAGAUCGGAUCGGGCCAGGUUGUAAGUUCGGGUUGUAUUUGGAUUAAUUUUUACCCAACCCAAACAAUCUGAAAUCCGAUCGGAUUGACCCGAACCCGAUUUUGCCCAUCCCUACUAAUAAUUAGUCUAAUCUAAUCUUGCGUGACAACAUAUCCUAAAUUUUUUUUACCCUUUCACAUAUUGCUUUUCACCUGAACUUCAAAAUCACCAUCCCUCAAUCGCGCACCUUCACUGAUCUAAUCCAUCGCCAAUAACCAUGUUUCAUACUUCUCUGUUGUCGUCAAUCAAUUUCACAGAAGCCAGUGAUCAAAUCCGACCUUCAAUCACUUCCAUCGAUGGAAGGCAUUACAUGAACCACCCCCAUUCGCGAAGCUCUACCAGAAAAUUAGGGUGCGUUUGAGAUUGAGGUUGGGCAACUGUAGCUUAAAAGGUACAGUACUAAAGUAUUUGAUAAAUACUAACUACUGUACCUUAUAAGUUAUAUUGACAUAAUUUUUCACUUAU
This 1542-nucleotide long non-coding RNA is filed under the name Citrus x clementina. Its description in RNAcentral is "Citrus clementina (C. clementina) long non-coding RNA (CCLE_LNC005501)". Lineage: Eukaryota; Viridiplantae; Streptophyta; Magnoliopsida; Sapindales; Rutaceae. The record is from RNAcentral.